UGUACUUUUGAUAAUGGCCAGAUUGCCCUUAUUGUAUUUUGCAGACAAUAACCGAUAAAACCUGUUACCUCUUUAGCCAUCUGAUCUCUCUCUCCUUUUCUUUUCUCGUUCAGUUUCUCUUUUUAUUUUAUCUUUUUGUUGAAAGUUCUUUUCUCUUCUUUCUGAUAAACUGUAACUUUCUCAAAAAAAAAAACUUCCUCAUAUAUGUUUUCAGAAGCGUUUUCUACUCUUUUUUUUCUGUUCUGUUUACAGAACAGCAGGAGAAAAACAAAACUUGAUUUUUUGGGGGUUUGAUUUUUUUUUCAGAAAAAUCAGAACAAUGAUUUUGUUGUGAGUUAUCUCUAUAGCGGUUGUCGUGAGCAAGAGGAGACGUCUCGAGAUCGCAUCCGUCUCGACCCGUCGUCACCGGUCUCGAGCUUGCCCCCGUCACCACCGGUCUCGAGCUUGCCCCCGUCACCACCGGUCUCGAGCUUGCCCCCGGUGGUCUCGAACUCGUCCCCCUCUUCAUCGCUAUCGCUGGUACUGGGGAUGGAGACAGAACAGAGGAAGACAUCGAGAAGAAAGGCAAAGGAGGAAGGAGGAGGCGGCAGCAAAGAGAUUAGGUUUAGGGUUAAUUAGGUUUUGGUUAAUUAGGUUUAGGUUAAUUAUGUUUUGGUUAAUUAGAUUUUGGUUAGGUUUCUUCGUUAUUUGAAGUACACCAAAAUUAUCGAGUUUGUUUACAGAUAUCCAACAUGUCUAAUCUCGCAUAACAAAAUGAUGUUCUUGGCUAUUACAAAUUUUAGCCGGAUUAUUUUUGUAAUAUCAGGAUAAAAUCUAACACGUCCAUAUUGCUUCGCC
Long non-coding RNA from Brassica napus (rape), 837 nucleotides. RefSeq lists it as uncharacterized. NCBI's taxonomy places the organism in Eukaryota, Viridiplantae, Streptophyta, Magnoliopsida, Brassicales, Brassicaceae. The record is from RefSeq and is a predicted model, not a curated record. The transcript is spliced from 2 exons.